This 352-nucleotide ribosomal RNA is filed under the name uncultured Symbiodinium. RNAcentral's name for it is "partial Bacterial large subunit ribosomal RNA". It matches the Rfam family "Bacterial large subunit ribosomal RNA", at positions 1917 to 2269 of the family's 2925-position model. Lineage: Eukaryota; Dinophyceae; Suessiales; Symbiodiniaceae. The record is from RNAcentral.
GCCCCGGUAAACGGCGGCCGUAACUAUGACGGUCCUAAGGUAGCGAAGUUCCUUGUCGGGUAAGUUCCGACCCGCACGAAAGGCGUAAUGAUUUGGAUACUGUCUCAGAGAGGGGCUCGGUGAAAUAGACUUGUCUGUGAAGAUGCGGACUACCUGCACCUGGACAGAAAGACCCUAUGAAGCUUUACUGUAACUUGAAAUUGAAAUUGGACUUUAUUUGCGCAGUAUAGGUGGGAGGCGUUGAGUUUAUUCUUGCGGGAAUUUAGGAGCCAUCAGUGAGAUACCACUCCUAUAAUGUUAGAUUUCUAACUUUUACCAUUAUCUGGUGAAAGAACAGUUUCAGGCGGGCAGU